GAUGAAGAACGCAGCGAAAUGCGAUAAGUAAUGUGAAUUGCAGAAUUCAGUGAAUCAUCGAAUCUUUGAACGCACAUUGCGCCCGCCAGUAUUCUGGCGGGCAUGCCUGUUCGAGCGUCAUUACAACCCUCAGGCCCCCGGGCCUGGCGUUGGGGAUCGGCGGAAGCCCCCUGCGGGCACAACGCCGUCCCCCAAAUACAGUGGCGGUCCCGCCGCAGCUUCCAUUGCGUAGUAGCUAACACCUCGCAACUGGAGAGCGGCGCGGCCACGCCGUAAAACACCCAACUUCUGAAUGUUGACCUCGAAUCCGGUAGGAAUACCCGCUGAACUUAAGCAUAUCAAUAAGCGGAGGA
RNAcentral lists this unclassified non-coding RNA (353 nucleotides) under soil metagenome. RNAcentral describes it as "partial contains 5.8S ribosomal RNA, internal transcribed spacer 2, and large subunit ribosomal RNA". The stretch from base 1 to 120 matches the Rfam family "5.8S ribosomal RNA", at positions 35 to 154 of the family's 154-position model. The record is from RNAcentral.